Molecule: transfer RNA, 71 nt
Filed under: Stichopus chloronotus
Lineage: Eukaryota; Metazoa; Echinodermata; Holothuroidea; Aspidochirotida; Stichopodidae
Description: tRNA-Ser
Rfam family: tRNA
About the family: Transfer RNA (tRNA) molecules are approximately 80 nucleotides in length. Their secondary structure includes four short double-helical elements and three loops (D, anti-codon, and T loops). Further hydrogen bonds mediate the characteristic L-shaped molecular structure. tRNAs have two regions of fundamental functional importance: the anti-codon, which is responsible for specific mRNA codon recognition, and the 3' end, to which the tRNAs corresponding amino acid is attached (by aminoacyl-tRNA synthetases). tRNAs cope with the degeneracy of the genetic code in two manners: having more than one tRNA (with a specific anti-codon) for a particular amino acid; and 'wobble' base-pairing, i.e. permitting non-standard base-pairing at the 3rd anti-codon position.
Source: RNAcentral
GGAGGAGUGGCAGAAUGUUAUUGCGUUUGACUUGAAAUCAAUAGACGAAGGUUCAAUUCCUUCCUCCUCUU